Molecule: ribosomal RNA, 369 nt
Filed under: Triticum aestivum (bread wheat)
Lineage: Eukaryota; Viridiplantae; Streptophyta; Magnoliopsida; Poales; Poaceae
Description: partial small subunit ribosomal RNA
Source: RNAcentral
AUGCAUGAUCAGGUCGGCCUGGACCUGGACGGCUUCCCACUUGAGCACGAGUUUCUAGAGGACUACGGGCAAUAGGAAGAGGACGAGUGCGACUUCGAAGGGGAGCCUUUGUUCGAGGACGAGCUCGCCAAUCAAACCGCCGGGGCAAAGCCGAAGAGAAAGAGCAAGCAGACCAAGGCAUACACGACGGCCGAGGACAAACUUCUUUGUGAGUGUUGGAGAGACAUUGCGUAAGACCCCAAGACGGGCGCUGAACAAAAGGCAUCAACCUUUUGGAUUCGUGUCCACUGUGAGUUCCAUGAGCGCGAGAAAUUUCCGCCGUACCAAAUAGUAAGCACGUGCGGGUGGGUGUCCAUUUCGAAGCGAUGA